This 331-nucleotide unclassified non-coding RNA is filed under the name soil metagenome. RNAcentral describes it as "partial contains 5.8S ribosomal RNA, internal transcribed spacer 2, and large subunit ribosomal RNA". The stretch from base 1 to 120 matches the Rfam family "5.8S ribosomal RNA", at positions 35 to 154 of the family's 154-position model. The record is from RNAcentral.
GAUGAAGAACGUAGCGAAAUGCGAUAAGUAGUGUGAAUUGCAGAAUUCAGUGAAUCAUCGAGUCUUUGAACGCACAUUGCGCCCCCUGGUAUUCCGGGGGGCAUACCUGUUCGAGCGUCAUUUCACCACUCAAGCCUCGCUUGGUAUUGGGCAACGCGGUCCGCCGCGUGCCUCAAAUCGACCGGCUGGGUCUUCUGUCCCCUAAGCGUUGUGGAAACUAUUCGCUAAAGGGUGUUCGGGAGGCUACGCCGUAAAACAACCCCAUUUCUAAGGUUGACCUCGGAUCAGGUAGGGAUACCCGCUGAACUUAAGCAUAUCAAUAAGCGGAGGA